GAUGAAGAACGUAGCGAAAUGCGAUAAGUAAUGUGAAUUGCAGAAUUCAGUGAAUCAUCGAAUCUUUGAACGCACAUUGCGCCCGCCAGUAUUCUGGCGGGCAUGCCUGUUCGAGCGUCAUUUCAACCCUCAGGCCCCAGUGCCUGGUGUUGGGGAUCGGCCCAGCCUUCCUGUAAGGCCGCCGGCCCCGAAAUCUAGUGGCGGUCUCGCUGUAGUCCUCCUCUGCGUAGUAGCACAACCUCGCAGUUGGAACGCGGCGGUGGCCAUGCCGUUAAACACCCCACUUCUGAAAGUUGACCUCGGAUCAGGUAGGAAUACCCGCUGAACUUAAGCAUAUCAAUAAGCGGAGGA
RNAcentral lists this unclassified non-coding RNA (351 nucleotides) under soil metagenome. Its description in RNAcentral is "partial contains 5.8S ribosomal RNA, internal transcribed spacer 2, and large subunit ribosomal RNA". The stretch from base 1 to 120 matches the Rfam family "5.8S ribosomal RNA", at positions 35 to 154 of the family's 154-position model. The record is from RNAcentral.